RNAcentral lists this ribosomal RNA (253 nucleotides) under uncultured bacterium. RNAcentral describes it as "partial 16S ribosomal RNA". It matches the Rfam family "Bacterial small subunit ribosomal RNA", at positions 524 to 776 of the family's 1533-position model. The record is from RNAcentral.
UACGUAGGUGACAAGCGUUGUCCGGAUUUACUGGGCGUAAAGAGCGCGCAGGCGGUCGUUCAAGUCGAGUGUGAAAGCCCCCGGCUCAACUGGGGAGGGUCAUUCGAUACUGAUCGACUCGAAGGCAGGAGAGGGUAGUGGAAUUCCCGGUGUAGUGGUGAAAUGCGCAGAUAUCAGGAGGAACACCAAUGGCGAAGGCAGCUCGCUGGGACGGUACUGACGCUGAGACGCGAAAGCGUGGGGAGCAAACAGG